AUUGAACGCUGGCGGAAUGCUUUACACAUGCAAGUCGAGCGGCAGCACGGGGCAACCUGGUGGCGAGUGGCGAACGGGUGAGUAAUGCAUCGGAACGUGCCAUUGAGUGGGGGAUAACGUAGCGAAGGUUACGCUAAUACCGCAUACGAUCUACGGAUGAAAGCGGGGGGAUCGCAAGACCUCGCGCGAGUGGAGCGGCCGAUGUCAGAUUAGGUAGUUGGUGGGGUAAAGGCUCACCAAGCCAACGAUCUGUAGCUGGUCUGAGAGGACGACCAGCCACACUGGAACUGAGACACGGUCCAGACUCCUACGGGAGGCAGCAGUGGGGAAUUUUGGACAAUGGGCGCAAGCCUGAUCCAGCCAUUCCGCGUGCAGGAUGAAGGCCUUCGGGUUGUAACUAGCUUUGUACGGUAACGAAACGGACGAGACUCUAAUACAGUUGUCUAAUGACGGUACCGUAA
RNAcentral lists this ribosomal RNA (461 nucleotides) under uncultured bacterium. Its description in RNAcentral is "bacterial SSU rRNA". It matches the Rfam family "Bacterial small subunit ribosomal RNA", at positions 30 to 484 of the family's 1533-position model. The record is from RNAcentral.